UGCAUCAAGGUAGUCGCUUUCCGGCUGUUUAGUGUAGAGUAUCUCUACAGGAAAAGUUCUCCCAGGGAUAGUGAAGAUGUUACAGUUAAAGAAAUAACCGGAAAACUUCUCCGCAUCCAAGGUAGCAGAUGUGACAAUCAAACGAAGGUCUGGUCUCCGCUUCACAAGCUUCUUCAGUAGUCCAAAAAGAACAUCUGUGUGGAUUGUCCUCUCAUGAGCUUCAUCAAGCAUGACCACAGAAUACUGAGAAAGGUUCUCAUCAAUCAAAAUCUCCCUAAGAAGCAUACCAUCAGUCAUGUACUUGAUGACAGUGUCUGGACCAGUGCAAUCCUCAAAACGAAUUGCAUAGCCGACUUCCUCUCCUAAACGACAACCAAACUCUUCAGCAACCCUCUUGGCCACAGACAUAGCAGCCACCCUACGUGGCUGUGUACAACCAAUCUUACCCAUUGUCGUGUAACCCGCUUCUGCAAGAUACUGCGUUACCUGUGUUGUCUUACCCGAACCAGUCUCACCAAUGACGACAAGCACUUGGUUCUCAUGCACCGCUGCAAUCAAUUCUUUCUUCAGCUUGUAGAUAGGCAAGCUCUGCCUCUGUUCCUGGAUUGAGAGUUUUGACCUCUGCCCAAAACUGAUAGUUUUCCCAAAAGCAUCCUUCUUCCACUCAGGCAUAUCAUAUGCUGACAAACCAACACCUCUAAGUUCUUGUGCAAGAUGCCUCUCACCAGUCUCUGGCAUUGGAUCUUCCCAGGGACGAUUGAGAUCCUUUGGGAUAGAAUCCAACAUGGUUCUCUGCUGCUGCUCACGCACUUCUCUACGCUCCUUAAUGAGUGCGGACUGAAGUGCAGCUGCACGACCCAGUGACCCUUCUGGAUUCUUAAAGAUUUUCACAGGUGACAUAUCAACAGAAUACCUGCUCUGUCCAUUUAAAAAGGCUGGCUCGUCCUCAUUGAGCUCAAUCUCAAGCUCUUCCUCAGCUCCCUCUUCUUGAUAAAGCAUCCCAUCGGUUUCCUCAUCAUACAUAGGAUACUCUGUAACACCCAAAACACCUGAGGCAAUCAACUGUUUGGCUUCCCACUUCUCUGGCGAGCUCAUUCUCUUCAAUGGCCGACGUGAUGGGCCAACAUCAUCCUCUUCCACAAUCCUAAUCCCAGAAAGACCAGUCCUAGUCACAGGUCCAUCCUUUGAAAAAGAUGGGUUCGUCCUAAGAGCAUCAUCCUCUGAGCUCUUCUUCAAGGGGAGCAAAUCCUUCCCUGUAUGUUGAUCAACAUCCCUCAUUGAAAGGCUCAACUUCUGACCUGAAAUUGAAAUCACCUUCACAUAAACUUCCUGAUCCCUCUUCACCACAUCCUUAGCAUUGCUAAUUCGCCUAGUUGCCAUCUGUGAAACGUGAACCAGACCCUCCUUCCCUCUUAAAUCAUUCAACUGAACAAAACAACCGGUGUCCAUCACUCUCGAAACCCUGCCCUUAUAAACCUGAUACAAUUCGGGCUCAUCCGAAUGGUUCUGGCCGUUCUGCCGAUCCCUAUUACCUCUCCUAUCAUCACCAUCUUCCUUAACAUCUCCAUCGUCUUCAUACCUAUCUCUCUUAUGCUUAUUGUAUCGAUCUGUAUGCCUUCCCCUGUCAUCAUCAUCAUCAUUAUAAUGUGUAUCUCUGCGCCUCUCAUCUCUAUCAUACCUUUCCCUUCGCCUCUCCCUCCCAUCUCUAUCUCUACCUCCUCUGUGUCUAUCUCGAUCUCUAUCUCUAUCUCCUUCCCUAUAUCUAUCACUACCUCUACGCCUAUCUUCUUCUCGCUCUUCAUCUUGUUCUUCUCUUCUGUUUCGCUUUUCCUUGGUCUCCAUCUCAAUUUCCUUCUCGAUGUCCUUGACUCUAUCUUUAUUAUCAGCGACUGCCAAAGCCUUAAACUUGGUCUUCCUACCAUCAGAAGCGCUCUCUUUCUUCGAGUCCUUCUCAGGCUUUGGCUUUGGUGGAAGAAUAGCGUGAAUGAUAGUGAGGAGUGUACGGACAAAGUAAUCGGGCAUCUCGGCACCGUUUUUCUUUAAUUUGGUGUCAAACUCGUCCACCGUCUCGCACUUUCGUCCCAACUCAGUGAUGAACUCCGCCAGAACUUUGUCCCCAACCCCUAUAUGGGUUUCGAGCUCUGAACAGACCUUGGAAACCAAGGAAAGGUACUCGAGCUUCUUCAAACCAUCGUCAGUGGCAGCCAUUAUGAACUUGCAGAGGUCCUAUUCAUAUUCAAUACAAAAACAAAUCAUAUCAAUAGAAAUUUCAAAAUUUAUGAGAAGAUGCAUAAACCGUAUAAUAUUAACUUGCACAGGCCCUAUUCAUAUUCAAGACAAAAAAUUCAUAUCAACGGAAAUUUCAAAAUUUAUGAGAAGAUCAUUGCUAUAUACUUUUAAUCAGUAGCAUAAAGUUCAAAAUUCAUGAAUGAUAAAUUUAUCACAAAAAAAGAAACAAUUUCUACAACUUCAAACUCACCCAGCAAAAAAUAAAAUUUAAAUCUAAAAUUGCAUACCAGGAGGAUCUGGAGAGUUAAUUCAACUAAUAAUAAAGUAAACUUGGAAUGCCAAAGCAAAUUCAACUAAAACCCUGUAGAACCCAGGAAAUAAGAAACGGAAGAGAAUAAAAAAGAAAUAUGAAACAAAAUCAAGGAAACUGAUCGUUGCUAAAGGGUGGAUCUUAAAUAUGUGAUGGGAUGGGGUCCAAGAUUAGAAUAUAUUGCAGUAAGACAUCAUACUUGGGAUGAGAUGAGAUCAAAGAUGGUUGCGCAUCAACCGUUGUCGCUGUCGAGAGAGAGGAGAGAUGAGCAAUAUGUAUAUGGCGGGAAGACGGCGUCGAAAAAUGGAGGAGUUGACGGUUGAGAUGGGCGGAUUGUUCGUCGCUGACGGCUGGAGCGUUUCUGUUUCAAAAAUAAUCUCAACUGAGAGGGGGGAUUUUAGCGAUUAGGGUUGAGAACUUGAGUUGGAGUGCACCGGCUGUAUCGAUACGCCUAAAUUUGGACCUGUGAAACUAGAGAAAAUAAUAUAAUAAUAAUAUCAUUUAUCUUUCCAAAGGCCAAAAACUUAUAAGUAAAAAUUUAAUAAAUUACAGAGAAACUUUAGUAAAUAGAAGAAUAUUAGGUAUGCAAUAAAAAGAUGAGGAAAAUUUUGGAAAAUAUAGUUAGUGGAGAUUUUUUUUUUUUUUUUAUACAAACAAUAAUCUAGUUUUUUUAUUUUUAUAAUCAUUCUAGGCCUACUUUAAUUUUUAUUUUUUAACAGCUAAUAGGAUAUUGGCACAUGAGUUGAUCUAUAGUAUUUUUUUACUACUUUUUGUUAGGUUAUUUUUAAUUUAAAUAUUCACUAGCCUCUUUUCACGCUCUUCUGCUUCUGUGAGAGGCUUUUUUAAAAAAAAAAUUGAAUUUAUUUUAGAAUUAAAAAAGAUAAUGAGUAGUUGUGUUCUAUAAAAAUAGGAUCCAUUAUCUGAUUUUUCUUUUAAUUUUAAUCUUUUUAAUAUGAAAAAAUGUGAAUUUACCAUAUUAUUCUCAUUUAAUUAAUAAUUUCAAUUCUUAAUGUUUGCAUUAAUCAAUGACAUUUUCUGGUAUUUUAAAUAUUUUAUCAUUCUCUACCUUUUGCUUUGUAUAUAUGGAUAUAGAUAAUAAUAAAAUACUCCCUUUCAUUGAGAUAUUGUUAUGCUUAAAAUCGUAUACACACCACAUUGUAUUGAAAUGUUAUAGUGACUAAACUCUUCAAGUAUCUUGCAAUUAUCAGAUAAGGAGUUAGUAAUCACAUAGGAAAAUAUUCAAUUUAUAUGUUUCUGGUUAUAAUAGUCAUGAUGCAUUUCACACCUUUUGCUGGUCUAGUCAAUACUGUUAUACUUCAGAAUUCCAAUAACGCUACGGGCACCAACUUAUUUACCAACUUUUGGAUACCAACACAUGUGGCACAUGACAUGGCAACCCAUGUCAUCUGCCAUCUCAUCUAUUUUAAUUACAAAAUUAACAAAGUGAGAAUGAACAAAAAAUAAUUUUGGUGGAUUAUUAUCGCGUUUGGAGUGAGUUUGGGUGUUUGAUUUGAUUUUGAUUAUUUAAUAAUACUAUUUUGGCCAUUGGAUUUGAUUUUGAGACAUUGGAAUUUUUUUUUUUUUGGUACAGUUGGAUUUGCUCAAAUUAAAUCUUAGCCAUUAUAUAUAACGAUAGAAAUUAAUUGGAAAAGAAAACGAAACAGUAGUUUGAAGGAAGCCGUUGGAUUCCUACGAUCCUUUCAUCCCAGCUCGUUAUGUGUCCUGACAACACGGGCCCCACGUCUUCUCAUCCAUUAAUCCCAACUCAAUGAACUUCCUUUUCAAACCCAACAAAAAAGAAAAAAAAAAAAAAAAGCGAUCUGAUUUGAAUGCACUUCUUUAUCAUGCAUUUUGUCCAGGAUAGGGGACUGAUUUUCCAGGCCAAGUGCGCAAAACAGUAGAGAUUUUAAAAUCAACUUUCCGAACGUAAAAUUAAAGUGGCUCGUUUAUGAAAAAGUUUCCCUCCCAUCUCCUCCUACUUUUCCCUCCUCACUCCCCUAGAAGAAUACCGGUAUAUAUUUUUCAUUUUCGGAAUUUCCAUUUUGUCUCAACUCAAACGUCAUUUGCUCUUGUCAUCCUCCUCCUUCAAUCCAACCCGCAUCCAUUGUUAGCUCGAAUCUUCUAAAACUACUACUUCGUUGUAAUUGGAUAUUAUUGAUUUGAUGGGUAGAGAGCAAGCUUAUGUUGGUGACGAUAUUGAUGAAAGUAAGUUCAAGACUUCGGAAGCAAUGAACCGCUACAAGAUAAUCUUCAGUGUUCAAGCUGUGACGGUUGAGCGGGAGGUCAAAUUGAGUGACUUCGAGGAUCUUGGGCUUCCUAGAAUCUUCAAAUCAAGAGGUUGGCUUUUGGCAAUGGGUCCUUCAGAGCCUACUAAUAUCCAGAUUGUCCAAGAAUUCUACGCAAACAUUCCUCCUUUCUCCGCCGAGCAGAAAACCUCACCUGGGUUGGGCCCUUUUGGUUCUUGUUUGUGGGAUGAGACUCUGCAUUUCUCUAGCGGUCGAGAAUACCCUGACUCAUUUGAUGUGUAUUUGCGAGGUAAGGUGUUAAAUUUCUCUGUUUCUGGCAUUGCCCAGUUACUUAAACUUACUAGGGCAAACCCAAAUGAAAAAUCACCUGGUUUUCCUGGGCUUGUUGUUGAUAAUCUUGACUUGAAGGUGGUGAAAUCUACUUUGGGUUGGAACAAGAGGGUCAGGGUUUUGCGUGAAAAUCGACUGAGUGAUUUGUACAAAGUGCUUAACAGCAUAGUGAGAUAUAAUAUCGAUCCUCCUUGUCACGUUAUCCCUUCUUUGCUUAGCAUUGAUAGAGCUCGCCUUCUUUAUGCCAUUGGGAACAAUGUACCUACUGAUCUGGCCACCUACAUUUUUCGUGCCAUCUGCCGUGCUGCAUUCCCAACUUCCAUGCCCGACUCCCUGCCUUUUACUUCCUUGAUCACACGCUUCGCCAUGGCUUCUCACGUGCCAGUUGAGCCUACGGAUAAGCUUUAUUCUCCUUGGUCGCCUUUGGACAACGUGGAUAUUUUUGGCUAUAGCUUUACUCCAUCUUCUCCGGCAGUCAAGCAACCUCAAGCCGUGGUGAGCCACACGCCCAGUAUGGCCAUACUUACCAAUGGCGUUGCUGAGCACAGGGGUGAUGUGCACCCCGUUUCCACCCACUCGGUCAUCCCACCUUCUUCGAAACAGCCAUCUGCAGGUCAGUCAAAUGUUAAUAGACAGACAUUAACAACAACAAAUGUAAUUUUCCUUAGAUUACACUUGGACAUUCAGCUUAUUACUGUAAAAUGCAUAGGCCCUUAUUGUUUUUAAGUGCAGGUGGUAAAAAUUUCCGAGGGUUUUCGUUGGUAGCAUCAUAGUUAGUAACAGAGUUGAACUUAUAGUAAGCAAUUAGGCAUCAAACAUGGCACGUUUCUGUGAUUAGUACUUAUGUCCUUCAAUUGUGUAUAUAUUGUUUGCAUGGUAAGUGGAAACCUUUAGAAGAUAAGCUCUCUGUUUGAAAUCACAUCUGUAUUCUUUUAAGGUUUGGUGUGAAGGAUAAACCAUGAAGUAGUCUACUAAUGCGAUAAUGGCUCAUAUUUUCACAUUUUCCUGUCUUCGUUGCCUCUGUUCUUGAAAACGUAUAAAGUGAUGGAGAGGUCUUAUUAUUUUUGGAAAAUAUUACAAUGUUCCCACAUCCCUGUAAUCUGUAUUUGACAGUGUACAUUGAUAAUAAAAUGAACGACUCAGAUACUUCAUGUGACAAUGAGGUAUGAACUUCAUCACAUUUUGUCUCUUUAAGGUUAUAAUAGUCACGAUGCAUUUCACACCUUUGCUGGUUUAGUCAAUGCUGUUAUACUUCAGAAUUCAGAUAGAUUAGAAUCAGAUGAUUGCUUUCUCUCUGCUUGUUACCAAAUACUCUGUCAGUUUAAUAUCUUUGUGUGUAAACAAUAUAAGAAAAACGAAUCUUUUCUCUUGUGCUGUUUUUGCUCUCUUUGAUAUUUACUUUCUCUCUGUGCUUGUGCUGAAGAAAUAAUGGAGGCUGAAGAAGAAAAUAACAGCAAUUUGAUUCCUAACUCACAUGCUUGUAUAAAUCCAUUAACUUCAACUUCUGACUCGCAUCCAAAUAAGAAAGUGAAAAAAGAUCCAUUGGAACAUGCAGCUGGUGAGGUGUCAAAGUUACUGCUGAGUGGUUUCAAAGAUACCUAACGUCAGUAGAUUGCAAGUUUUUAAAGCUGUACGCAUAAUAUUGAAUGGUAACCCAGAAGAAUUCUCUCUACUGAUACUCUUCCUGAUGUUGAGAAGACAAAGUGGAUACUCUUACUAAUUAGUCAAUCUGAAGGUAACUUUCUUGAUAAAAAUUGAGCCAAUAGCUCAGGGGAUAUAAAAUAGGUCUUAGACAUAAAGCCACUUAUCAACAUUUACUUUCUCUCAGGAAAAGAAGAAAGUUUGAGAUACGCUAUCCCUUCUGGCCAUGGUAUGGCUCUCUCUCUCUCUCUCUCUCUCUCUCUGUCUCUCUCUGUGUCUCUCUCUCUCUGUCUCUCUCUCUCCCUCUAACUUAAUUUCUAGUUCUGCAUUUGUUGUUUUAAUUUUAUGCUUUUAACAUGUCAAACCAAUACUUCACUCUGUAAGAUUACUACUUAAUAUCUAGAUAGAAGAGAGAUUUGAACUGAAAUAUCCCAAUUGUAAAUCCUUCUACUCCAAAUUAAAGAGAAAAAGAAAAGUAUGAACCAAUUGGACAGAAUAUACUUGCACAUACUCCCUCCUUGAAUGAGUUUCAGUAAGAAAGCUAGUGUAGCCAAUUGGACAGAAUUUACUUGCACAUACUCCCUCCUUUGAUGUAGUUUCCAAGUGCAUCACCUUAUGAUACCUCUUCAUGUUUUCAAUUAGUAUUGGCUUGUGACAUGCCAAUUUUCUGAGCUUUUAGGGUUCAAUUAUGUAGAUAGAAGAGAGAUUUGAACUGAAAUAUCCCAAUUGUAAAUCCUUCUACUCCAAAUUAAAGAGAAAAAGAAAAGUAUGAACCAAUUGGACAGAAUAUACUUGCACAUACUCCCUCCUUGAAUGAGUUUCAGUAAGAAAGCUAGUGUAGCCAAUUGGACAGAAUUUACUUGCACAUACUCCCUCCUUUGAUGUAGUUUCCAAGUGCAUCACCUUAUGAUACCUCUUCAUGUUUUCAAUUAGUAUUGCCUUGUGACAUGCCAAUUUUCUUCAAUGAUUAUAUACAGGGAGCAGAGUGGCCAAUUCUUUCCUUUCAUAAUUCAACAUCUUGUUCUGGGCACAUGGUAGAAGAUGCCUUCUUGUAAACAGACUUUUUGUAUUUGGUCAGGCUUGCAAUGCUCUAUUUUGUGGAUUUUAAGAUUGUAUUAGGCUUACUUGUGAGCUGCAAAAUGCCUUGUACCAAAGUUUAUGUAUAAAAUGUGUGCUAAAUCUUGUGUGUGGAGUACAAGAUUGAAGGUCUUCCUGGAAAAGCAAUCACAAGCAUUUUCUCUUUUCAAUUUGUAGAAAUGUUCAAGUUCUUGCCCAUCACUUGCAGAUAUAUAGUGUUGUGUACCAUAAAGGCUCCAUCAUAUGCAAUUCCAUCAAGGCUUGCAGGCCAAUCACUGCUUUCUCUUGGAUAUUACAAACAUUUGUAGAGCCAUAAUGAAAACUUGGUAGACAAACCCAAAUACGUGCAUUGACCAUUUGCUUAAACUUGAUAGGCUAGCAAGAGCUUGUAGCUCAAGUGGUUAAGAGUAUCUAUCCUUACACUUGAGGUCCUAGAUGUGAUUCCCUCCUCCCAAUAUCGCUUGUAACCAAAAACAAGCAAAAAAACUUGAUAGGCCAGACCCAGAUGAACCUGGUUUUCAUAAACUUGUUUGUCAGCUUGAUAGUGGCUUAUUAGAGUCCAAAUUGGUUGGGAAAGUAAUGUCCACCAGUUUUAGCAGAUACCCUUUGAGACAAUGUUGAACAGAGCACUUCACUUGAUUGUUAAUGACUAGGGCCCCAAGGGUAUGUUCUUGGUAUGUUACCUUAGGCCUAAGAUACUCUGUCUGUCAGAAGAGAAGAAUGGAGAAGAGGGUGAACAGUGCACGAGAUUGCUGGGUUUUUGCAAGUUAGAGAGAUGAAGAAGGUGGAAAAAUAAGGCACAAAUGGGAAGAUAGCUUGCAUUCUUCUUAUUUUUAACAGACUUUUAUAUAUACCCUACAACGUAAACUAGAAAAUAAUUAUAUAAAAUAAUGAAAUUCCAAAACUCUUUUGGAUCUGAAAGUCUAAAGGUUUUCAUUUCUUCAGUUUUCCUCUCACUCUUUGGUUCUCCAUCAAUUUAUUUUUCAUCAUUCUCUCAUCUCAUCCCUCCUUUACAUGUAUGCAAUCAUUGUAUAUUAAAUGAGGAGAAGUGAGGAGAUGAGUAGAGCUGGGUUCAGGGUUGGUGACAAAGAAAAUGAAAUCAAUCAAUGAUGGAGAUAGAUGUCCAAAGAAAAAUAUUUUGAUGAAGUAGAGAAAUUGUAUUUUUGGGAAGAGUUGAGUGUCUAGAGAAUGGUGAGAAUAAAAAUAGAAACCCAUUGAAACACCGAGUGUAAACAGAAUUCUUGGUAAUAUGAAAUUUCUCUUUCACAUUCAAGGAGUCAAAUCACAUGAAAAGUUUAUGAAGGAACUAUGUUGUAACUACUCUUAACAACUUGAGCUAUACGUGUCAAGUUAGAUCUUCAAUAAUGUAGUAACACACUCUUCAAUAAUGUCUCACAAUGUUAGAUCUUUCAUAGUGAAAAUUAAAUUGAAGAGUGAGAAAGUGAUUUCUAAGAGCAACUCCACCGCUCAAGAUUGAGCUAGGGCAAUCAGUGGGUCCCACCAACCUGGGCAGGCCCAAAGGCAAUUCUUGCAUGGGCUUCAGCCCGAGGGCGGUGACAUCAGCGCACGGUAAUUCAAAUUUUUUUUACCGUUGGUGCGUGAAUUACACGCGCCAACAGUAAAAAAAUUUGACUUCCGCGCGCUAACGUCAGCCCUGAUAGACUCUAAUGGCCAUUUGACACGUAUCGCAACCGGGCUUCUCCGAUGAGUUUUUUUCCAGAAAUCCAACGGUCUUUGUUUUUUUGGCUAAAAAAAUUCCAAAAAAAUUCUGAAAUUUUUUUAAAAAAUACCAAAAAAAUUCUGUAUUUUUUUUUCCUAUAAAUACCUAACUAUUUUAUUUACUUUCCACACUAAAUCUUCAUACAAUUUCUUCUCCAUCCAAUAUUUUUUACUCUCCACUCACAUUAUUCACUUCCCACACCAAUUCUCCAUACAAACUCUUCUCCUUCCAAUAUUUUUUACUCUCCACUCACAUUUUUCACUUCCCACACCAAUUCUCCAUACAAAUUCUUCUCCUUCCAAUAUUUUUUACUCUCCACUCACAUUUUUCUACUACUUUCCAUUUGUAAAAAAAAAAAAAAAAACAAAUGGCAUCUUCUGUCGAAACCGGAGGCUCGUGGUCAACUCAGGAAGAUAUUGCAUUGUGUCAGUAUUAGGUGAACGUUAGUAAUGAUCCUAUCACGGGCAAUGAGAUGAAGUUCCAUCAUAUGUGGAGUAAAAUUCAUGGAGAAUUUUGUCAAAGAUCGGGUCCCAUUCGGACCGAAAUAGCCUUGUCUAGUAGAUGGAAACUUCUGAAUAAAGAGUUAGGGAAAUGGAGAAAUGCCUUGACAAAAACAAGGGAGAACAUUCGAAGCGGUCAAAAUCUAUCCGAUGAGGUAAAAUAUUUAUAAUUGUCAUUUUAAUAAAUUUAAUGUAAUUUUUUUUUAUUGCAUAUUCUAUGUCUUUUUGUUGCAUAAUCUUUUUUUUUUCUUUUUGCAUUUCCAAUUUGUCUAUAUUUUCUUGCAUAAUCAAUUUCAUUCUUGCAUUUCAAAAUAGUUUAUAUUUUCUUGCAUAAUAAUUUUUUUUCUUGCACUUCCAAUCAUUUAUUUUUAAUAGAUCAUACAAGCACAAAUGUGGUUCGGUGCCAUGGGGCAAGGCAAAAAAAGUUUCGUGCAUUUCCAAUGUUGGGAAGUUGUGAAAGAUUGUUCAAGAUUCAAAAUUAUUCCCACCGGUCCAACAGUUUUGUUGAAUGAGACGCCGCUUCACGAUUCACCAUCAACCGAUUCGCCAUUGGACUUCCCAAUGGAAACGGAGUCACCACUCCCACGUCCGCCAAGACCUAUUGGGAGAAAGGCGGCAAAGGCCAAGAGAGGGGGCACUUCAAACAAUGAAUGUAUACAAUUAUUGGAGCAAAUAGCUAAGAACACCUCACUAAGAAUUGAGAGAGACUUGAAAAGAGAUGAAGUGGACAAGGCACGAGAGGAAGCAUUUGUAAUUCAACAGCAGCAGGCACAAGACAAAGACAUGGAUGAUAGAGAGAUGAAAAUCAUGGCCAUGGAUACGAGCCAUAUGUCUCCUGAAACCAAGGCCUAUUGAAAGCAUAGACGAAGAGAUGUGAUGAGAAGAAAACUUUUCCAUGACGAUGAACCUAGCAAUACGGAUUGGUUAAAUGAUGAAAACCAUUAAGUUUUAUUGAAACACCUUUGCCAUAUGUUGUAUUGUUGUAUUGUUGUAUUAUCCUUUAAUUUAUUGUAUUGUUUCCUUUUCAUUAAAUAAAAAAAGUAUUAAAUAAUAUGACUAUUUAUUAAAAACAUUUGAGCAUCAAAAUAAAGAUUAAUUAAAAACAAACCUUAAUUUAUUGCAAACAACACACAAAAUAAAUCAUACAUAAAAGCAUAAUAAUAAUAAAAAAGAUAGAGAUGGUGUAGUUUUAUAGAGGGAUUCAGAAGAUAGAAAUGACACGUGGCACAAUUUUAGAGGAUGAAAAUCUUAUCUGAAAUAUGAGAUUAUAAUUUUUAAAAAAUAUCUGAAAAUCUUAUCUAACAGAGAUAACACUUGGCACAAUUUUAGAGGGUGAAAAUCUUAUCUGAAAUAUGAGAUUAUAUUUUUUUUUUAAAUAUCUGAAAAUCUUAUCUGACAUGGGACACGUGACACAAUUUUAGAGGUGAAAAUGUUAUCUGAAAUAUGAGAUUAUAAUUUUUUUUAAUGAAUAUCCGAAAAUUUUAUCUGGAAUAAGACAUGUGGCAACUAAGAUUCUCAUUCGAAAAUCUUUUCUGAAAAAUAAUGGACAUGUGACAGUAAAAAGUAUUAUCCGAAAAUUUAAUUACAAAAGAUUAUCAAAAUUAAUAGUUUAAAGUAUAAAAAAAUAGGAAAUAAAGUACAAUGAAUAGUAUUUACCUUAGACUUGCCCUAGACUUAACCCUCAUGGGUGGAACCACAAAUGGCAAGGCUGCCACUAUUCAUGUGACUAUUCAUGUGAAUAGUCACAGCCCUUGCUUACCCUUGCCCUAGACUUAGCCCUUAUGGGUGGAAUUGCUGUAAAAAGUUAACAUCAAAAGACCCUUAAAAAGUAUGUGAUCAUUCUCAAUAUGGACCCCCAUAUUUCAAUUUCAUUAUUUUACUCCCACGGUUUUCAAAUUUGCUCAAUUUACUUUCCGUCACAUUAACUGCUAACGUGUCUACUGUGAGACACAGCCACUUAUCAAUCCCCAUCCCAUCUAACAUGUAAUAAAACAAAAACUAAAUAUAUGAUAUUAAAAAAAAAGAAAAAAAAAAGAAGAGGCAUAUAGCCUUCCCCAUCACUCUCACCGACGCACAGUCGCACCACCCGAUCCCCCUCCCUUUCUUCGUCCUCUCUCUCUCUCUCUCUCCCUCUCUCCCUCUCUCCGUCCCUUUCUCCCCCAUCCCAUCUUCUCGAGUUCUCUGAUUCCCCCCCCCCUCUUCGCGAUCUACCUCUCCUUCGAGAGGCUUCUCGAGUCCAGGCCCUGCGAUGCCGAUCAGACCUAGCUCAUCGAUCGCUCUCUCCAAUUGGGCUCUGUGCUCCUCGAGGCUGCUAAUCGUUCUGCGAGAAAACCAGCCUCCAAGCACAACUCUCUCACCUGUACUCUCCCCUCAAACCUCCCUCCAAGCACAAUUUGUAUAUAUUGAUAGGGAUGGGGAGCUGGGAGGAUAGUGGGACGGAGAGAGAGAGGGGGGGACGAAGAGAGGGAGAGUGCUCUGGUGGGGAAGAGCCAGGUGCGCCGCUAUCACGAACACAUUCAGACCACGAGCUGACGCAAGUGGAAAUCAUGCUUCUCUGUUUUUCUAGUUCUGUAGUCGCCGCUAAUCAUGCUGCUUUGAUUUUCCAUUGAUGUUUGCUUUGUUACUCUCAAAAAGUUUCCUUCCUUUAUUUUUUAUUUAUUUCGAUAAUGAAAUUUGAAAUUUGAAUUGUGUGUUGCUUUGUUACUCUCAAUAAAUCUUCCUUCUUUUUCUUUUUUCUUACAGGAAUUGGGUUUUGGUGUUUCACCAACGAGCUGACGCCAGAGAGAGAGGGAUGGGGUUGGUGUGGGUGCGAUUGAGGGGUGAACAAGGGGUGCUGGGUUUGUUGGGCUGAGGAAGGGCUGGGAUUUUUUAAGGUAUUUUUAUUUUAUUUUAUUUUAUCACUUUAUAUAAAUUUUUUUAGGAACUGAUUAGUUAGUGGGCGGAUCCCGAUUGCCCAUAUUGAGAAUAACCCCAAAUGUCUUUUGAUGUUAGCUCAUUUCUAAAUUUGUAGAGUGAGGGAGUGACCACAGUUUUGAUAUAUUGGUGUCUAUUUUUAUUGGAGCUGAUUUUGUUUGCCUCACCUUACCAGUGGGUAUAUUCCUGGUAAAUAAUAUUGCAACUCUUGCGCUUUUAGAAAUUGUGUGUAUAGUUUUAGAAAAUGGGUCAUGUAAUUUUAAUAUAAAAUUGCUACAAACUCUUGUCAACCCUGGAAAGUUCAGUCCAAGUGGACGAGACAUGCUCUCUCUUAUUAAAAAUGCUAUACAUGUACACCAUGCUUUUGUCCUCAAAUUUGGACUCGUUAUACAGUAUAGACUACUUUAUUUAUGUACUUGGCUAAGAGUUCGAUUAUUUUCCUCCCCUUUUCUUAAAUGGAAAUCAUCUCUAGUUCUUUUCACCCCUAACAACAUAUGGAACUGCUGAGUUCAUAACUUUUCUAUUGUUUAUCUUUUAUGCAUAAAAUUAUAUCUUGUUUUUUUACUGGGUAAUUCAAAACUUGGAAACUCCUUCGACGACUUUACUAAAAAGGAUUUAGGUUUUUUUUACUAAAAAGUCAGUAUAGUAUGAAUACCUAUUUGAUACGAUGUAGGUUUUUUUUUUUAAUUUAAAAAUUUAUUGAAAGGAUUUUUAAUUAUUUGUAUUGGCACUAUUAAUUUUGCCACAGAAUUCUCAGAGGUUUAGUAAUUUGCUUUUACAAAUACCAUGAUCGUUUUGGGAAAUCUCUCUUUCUGGAGGCAGAUUCCAGAGCCGUUUAAGGGAAAUUCGUAGUCGAGCUACCGAUGUUCAUGAUAAGGAAAAGGGAAUCAAGAUUACUGAGAAGGAUUGGGAAAAGUUGAAUGUACAAUUGCUUCAUACAACAAUUUUCCUACUGCUGCUGGAUUGGCUUCCUCAGCAGCUGGUUUUGCUUGUCUUGGUAACCGAUAAUACCCUAUUUUGGAUCAUAUUAUUGUUAAUUUGUUAUAUGAUUAGUGCCUUAACUUUGAGAACUCAUGACUGUUAAUAAUGUUACUUGGGUACCGGAUUAAUCAUUCUUUGCCAAUAGAUAGUAGUUAAGCAACGAGCAUAUCAUAGCUAAGCCUCUGUUUCUACUUGCAGUUUUUGCCCUCGCAAAGUUAAUGAAUGCGAAUGAAGAUCACAGCCAGCUUUCUGCUACUGGAAUCAAUCUGAGAUUUUAAUAAGCCAUCGCAAUCUGACUAAGUUUUACAGAAUACUUAACACAAUAGUAAGUGCUGAUAUCGACCCUGAAGAACGUCUCCUUGACAGUAGCUUAAUUGAUUUUGACAGAGCAAGCCUCCUUUAUGCCAUUGGGAAUAAUAAUGCGUCCAUUGAUCAGCCCGCCCACAUUUUCCGAGCCAUUUGCCUGGCUGCAACCCCAGACGACUACUACGAAACUCAUUCCCUGCCUUUUGGGUCGUUGAUCACUAGGUUUGCCAUGGCGUCUAAAGUGCGAAUUGAUCCUACGGAUCAGCUUAAACAACUUAUGCCACCUAUCAACUAGAUGAUGUUUCAUAAUGAUCAGACAGAUGAAACAAGUGAAGAAUCUGUUGUUGGAUUUACUCCUCCUCCUGCACCUGCUUCGGAGCCAAGUCCUCCACAGCUUAAUCAGCCUCCUCUGUCCCAGACAAAAAGCUUUGAGAAGUUUUCUAUAAAGCUGAGAAAGCGCAUGGCCCGACUUGCCAAUGAGGUCGUUAAGCUCACCGGUUGCGUACAUUGGGGCAUCCCAUUGAAAGAGCCAUUUACAGGUCAUUCUAAUGUUGAGCUUGCUUUAGUUUAUAUGUGUUUUUGUCCUUUUCAGCUUUGUUAAACCCUGUCUUCAACUUUCAUUUCUAAUCCAUUGAUUAUCUAUGAGUUGUUAGGCUUUUGUUUCCAUUUGUUUAUUCAGUUGUUCUUCUUUUAUACCCUCUCAUUUGUUUCUGCUCCUCUGUCUUAUGAUUUUCCACUUCCACUUAUCACUCCCUUGUCAUACACACUUGCAGUACAAGAUAAAUAGAAUCUGAAGUUUGCCUUGUUCUGGAUGAUAAAUAGAAUUCUAUUUAGUUAUAUAUUUUCAAAGAUACAAGUUAAAUAAAGACGAUGUAGCGAGCACCAUAAGCUUCAAAAGAAUUUUCCUAGUUCUAGGCUUAAGUAUAUUUUUUAUCUAAAGGACCUCUGAGUUGACUGCAGGAACUGAUUCAGCCUAAUACUGUAAAAGAAUUGUCCCUUGAAUAUCUUUUUAUGUACAGCUGGUAAGAAAAUUUUCGGGUUUUUACUGGUGGAAGGAAAGUAAUAAACUUGAAGUUAGCAACUAGCACUGAAUGCUUCUGUGGUUAGUGAUUUAGUAUUAAAGAGAAGCUCUGUUUCUGAUCAUAUAUGUAAGAUUGAUUUUGAUUGCAUUAAUUAGUAAAAAAGAUAAGCUCUGUUUCAGAUCAUAUAUGUAUUCUUUUAGUCAACUAAUGAGAUGGGGUGGUUAACAUUUAUUUAAGUGUGACUGGAACAGUUUUGAGUGAUGAAUUUUCCUAUUUUCACUAGGGAGCUGCCUUUGAAUUUGAUAUUUUCGGGAGUGAUUCGAUGCUUUUCUCUCGUUUGAAAACUUAACAAAAUUAAAUAUUCACAAUAUUCCCCAUCGUCUGUAUAAUAAAAAUGAAACUGCUUCUACAUGUGAUUAUGAACUCCAACACAUCUUGUGUCCUUGUGGUUGUAAUAGUCAGCAGUUAAUGCACUUCUUUGCUGCUUUAGUGGAUGUUUUUUAUGCUUUACUUUCUCUCUGUUAUUGUGCUGAAGAAAAUAUGGAGGUUAAACAAGAAAAUGAUGAGAAUUUUAUUCCCAACUCACAUACUUCGACACAUCUAUCAACUUCAAUUUCUGGCUUGCAUCCAAAUAAGAAAGCGAAAAAACAUCCAUUGGCACAAGCAAUUGGUGAGGCGGCAGACUCACAAAAGGAGUUUUCGGCAAGUCAAAUGAACCGCAACUCAGAGGAGAGGAUGUACUUGCAGUGGUCUCAAAGAUACCGAACUUCAGUAGAUUGCAAGUUUUGAAGGCCGUACACAUGUUAUUGAAUACUGCUUAUUAGUAAAUCCUGGGUCUAACUUUCUUGAUAAAUGAUGCUGAGUGAGCCAAUUAUUUCUCAGGGGUUUAAACUUUUGCAUAGAGAGACACUUAUCAGCAUUUACUCUCUCUCUCUCUCUCUCUCUCUCAUUAAUCCAGUAUUAGGAGUGAUCUUGCUUUUUAUUCUUUUCAUAUACAAUAUUAUUGAUAUCCUUUUAUGUCCUUUUACACACACUGAGCUUCUUGACAUGUUCUGGGCUUUUAAUCAUGCUUCAAAGACAUACUUUAAAUCCAUUUAUAUAUCUUCUUUAUCUAUUUAUUUCUCUUGUUUGAGAGGAGGUAUUAUUUCUCUUGUUCAUUAUACUAAUGUAAUUUACACGGAAAGGGGUUUGAACUUCGGUGUAAGGGGUAAGCUCACCAUCUUAUCCAAUUAGCCUAACCGCAUUUGCAGAUGUAUACAAAUACAAUGAUAUAGUCCAAACUACUCUAAAUCUAAACUACUAGGGCAUGUUUGGUAGGGUUCACUAGAUAGGACUAUGCUAAAUUGAACCUGAAACCCAUGUUUGGAUAGAAAGGGGACUAAUUUAAAUGGGAUUGUAGAGCCCAACAGUAACAAAAACCCCUCACUCGUUCUCCUUAUACAGAGAAGCUGAAAAUGGGUUCACAAAAUAAGCGCUUCGUUAUAUUGAACACGCGACAACGCCUCUCUCUCUAGUUCUUGACUUCGCCCUCUAUCUAGUUCGCGACUCGACCUCUUCUUUGUUCAACAUCGACUCCUCUUCUUCGAAUCUUGACCCAGGCAAGUUUUUCUGGUCUUUCCCUUUGGAUACCUCUCUUUUCCUUCUUCCACCUCUUUGAUUUUUGCAAUUGUCCUCAACAAUUUUGACUCUGUGCUCUGAAUCUCUCCUUCCUUUUCUCUGUUUUUUGUUAUUCUUUUCUCUAAUUUUCGUAGAAUCCAUAUCUACUGUAGCGACAUAUAUAUAUUUGAUGUUAAUUGACAAUUAAUUUGCAAUGGGUAUUUAAGAAAGCCUAGAAAUUCAGAAUCUUGAGUUUAGAGUAGACUUUUGGCAUGAAUCUUGAGUUUAUUGAACUUACUGGUUCAUGUGGGAUGAUGCAUCUUUGUGGUUUCAGUUUUUAAAUAAGAUGCUCUCCUUUCAUCUUAUUUAAUCUGAAUAAAAAUAAGAUGUUUCUUUUCUGAUGUACGCAAUUCAUACCAGUCUCAUGUGUGACUAUAUUCAAUAGGAUUUGAGACAUGAUGACUAAACCUUCUGAAUAUCUUUCUAUGGCACUUGGUGGCUGGACUGAGGAUUUCUUGUAUUUUCAUGAGUUGUAUUCAUUGGAGACUUUUAAUAGGUACCUUAACAUGUAAAAUGGCUGCAUCUUGCCUACCAUCAUCUACUUUCAGACACCACAUAUAUAAUCUCACAGUUGAGGUGUAAGUUUUGAAGUGGAGCCUCAACUUAGGCUCUCUGUUAGAACGUCUCCUUUAAGUUCUCAUUUUGGGUAAAUGAGAUUCUGUAUUCACUCUAACUGUAUUCAAUUAGAUUAACUAACAUAAGAAUGUCUCUACCCUUUUUUUCUUUCUUUUUUAUAUUUUCCCUAUUUCCCCAUGGUCAUAAUUUACAGGCCUUUGUCUUAACUCUGGCACUACCUAGGUCUGCCAAUUUUCUUUUUUCUUGGUUGGUGAUUUAGUGCUAAAAGAUUACACAGAGGAAGAUUAGUAUUUGUUUUAUGCUUGCUGUUGAGUUUCUUUUGUAGCUAUGAGGUUGCCAUUUCUUAUAAAAUUUUUGCCAAAAAGUCAUACUAGGUUACCAUUUGGAUAGAAGGUACAUCAAAUCUUGAUUUGGGCCUUUUUGUUUGCUCAUGUCAUUGUGGUAAUGUUAUAGGUAGCUGGUGUGAAAUUAAAAAGAAAAAAACAGAGUUUGCAUUGCUAUUUUAUUAUUCAGCAUUCCAUCAGUUGUUUUAUGCUUGCUGUGGAGUUUCUUUUGUAGCUAUGGGGUUGCCAUUUCUUAUAAAAAUUUUGCCAAAGGUUACCAUUUGGAUAGAAGGUACAGCAAAUCUUGAUUUGGGCCUUUUUGUUUGCUCAUGUCAUUGUGGUAAUAUUAUAGGUAGAUAGAAUCUAACAAUUCUUUACAGUUGACUCUGGUGUGAAAUUAAAAAGAAAAAAAACACAGUUUGCAUUGCUAUUUUAUUGUUCAGCAUUCCAUCAGUGAUGGGCAGCUUGCAACUUUCUUUUAGUGAUUGGCAUGGGCAAAGUCCUUCUAAUGUCCUCUCACCACAUGUGGACAUUAUACCAGUAGAGCAAUUUCUCCUUUAUAUGAGAUAGAGAGACCAAUUACUCAAAAAUGAAUAAAAUACCAACAACAAAUUAAAGAAAACAGAGCAUCUGACACUGUUGGCCAUGUCAAAGCAAAGUCAUGCUAUGUUUUUUCUUUUUGUUUGGAGAAAGAUAUGUAGUUUUGGAGUUUGCAAUUGUGACAAAUCCCCUGUGAUUGAUUGUAUCUGUCAUUUGACAGAGCAAUUUGCGUCCUACAUGAGUAUCAAUUGAUUUUGGUCUCUCAAAUAAGAAAAUGCAAUAAAUAACAUGGUGUUCAUUAGCAGCAGCAGCAUCUUUUGGCCAAAAGUGAAAUAAUUCUGCGAUUUUUUUCUUCAUAUUUGUUGUGGUAUUAGGCACACGUUGGUUGAUAAUUUGGUCCAUUUGGGGCAAAUUUUCCAUACUUUGCAAUGGUAUUAAUUAUGGCUUUGUAGUAAUUGUUCUGUUUCAUAGAAACAUAUGAAACUGUUCGUUUUCAAUUUUUGGGGUUAUUUCACUUUCAAUAGAAUUGGUUAAGUGCAAUAAUUCUUUUCUUUUUUGAUUAAUAGAUAUGGAUCAUGCUUAGAAACAAAGUUACGCUUUUUUGGCAGAUUCCAAUUAUUGAUUAUGGUAUUAUUUUAUUUGUGCUGAUUAUUCUUAGGAAAGGAAAAUAAAGGUAACAGUCAAAACUUCGAACAAGGAAGAAAGGGACUAGGCGGUCAUGGUCCACAAAAUACAUCUAUAUUCAUGUCUUUGGAUGAUGAUAUCAAGAAAGUGUUUGUUGAGCAGUUGCUUAGUGACAAUGCUUGAGGACAUGGCCUAGCUAAAUUUAAUGCAUCUAUCUUUUUGGAAACACCAAAAAUGAUGCAUUGAUAAGAUUGGCUUCAUUUUGGAAACACCACAAAUUGUAUAACAUAUUGCUAGCAUUAAAGCCAAAUGGUUCAUGGUUGUGAGGUUUAUUAGUUCAUUUUGAAAUUGUGGAUGUUUAUUUGUAUGUAUUAAUGGUAGAAUUGUGUGUAGUGAACUGGACUUCUAAUUUCUGAGUAAUGUAGAUGACUUUGGCAUAUAUGAAGAAUUUCUAACUUUUGCAUAUAUGAAAUGUAUAUGUCAAUUUGGUUUGGAGAAAAAGAAAUGUAUAUGACAAUUUGGUAAUUCUAAUAACAAAAAAAACUUACAUUUAAUUAUUUAAAAAUAUUAUUUUUAAAUAUAAAAUAAUUAUUUUUUAGUCCUACAUAGCACCAAACAUAGGUCUUCGCUAUUUUUACAAUCCAGCUUUUUAGUCCGACACAGCACCAAACGUAUGUCAGUACUUAAUCCAGCUUAGUCCAAUCUGAGCUAAUCCAAGAUAAUCCUAGGAUUUAGUCCAGUCCAUGACAGUCCGCCGUACCAAACGACCCCCUAUAUUACUUUCCUUCUAUAGUCAAUAUAUAUGACUUUUGCCCUUCAAACUAAUUAUGUCUUACCUACAAUCCAUUAUUUUAUCUACUAUAUUACUUUCCUUCUAUAGUCAAUAUAUAUGACUUUUGCCCUUCAAACUAAUUAUGUCUUACCUACAAUCCAUUAUUUUAUUUUAUUUAUAAAUAAAACCCAAUGAUUGGAUCCGACUCAUCAAUUUACCUAAUUAAAUUUAAAAUUUUGAUUUAUUGUACUUUUUUUAGAUUAAAAAUAAUAAUUAUGGAUAAUUAAUCUACCUAUGCAAUCUCGGCAAAUUCUUAUACCUACAAAAUAUAGGUAAAUUGGUACCCUUUUUUAAUUUUAUAAAUAACGUGCCUAUUUUUUCAUAACUAAUGUACCUAUUUAUUUUAUAGAACUAAUUCAAUAGCAACGUUUUUUUAAAAUAUAGAAAUAAUGUACCUAUUUUCUUAUAAUUAAUGUACCUUUUUUUCUUUAAAAAUAUUUACGUAUUCAGAAUCUCGCCCCUAUUCUGACUGAGAAUUGCUCCUCAAUCAAUCAAUAUGCAUCUCACCACCCAAGCUCUCUUUCUUCACUGGGACCGUGUUUUGUUCUUUAUUUAUUUUUAUUUUUUUUUCAUUUUAGUUGUUGUUUAAUUUUUAAACUUGUGUUUUUUAAUAACCAUUAUAUUAUCAUUUAUAUCCAAGGGCGAAUGACCACAAAUUCCUUGGACCACAGGAGUUCAGAAGAACGGGACCGAGUAAUUCAUAUACUAAUCAUUUAUCGAGCAACAAAACAAAUCAAAUCAAAGAAUCAGAAUGCAAAAUGAAGGAAGCUGCUCCGAAACUCUAUGAUCAGAUAUCCAACACUAAAUCUACUUAAGUGUUUCGUGAUCAUCACUAUAAUAAGAGAAACUUUCGUGUGUAAUUGUAAGACCCCAUGUUUAACCUAAAUUAUAGGGGCAUUUCAAAAUAGACUUGGUCAAUAACCAAACUCUCAUAUUAUAGUUGUUGAAUAAAAACCCAUUAUUCAUUUAUUAGUAUCAAUAAAUAUAUAGGCAUUAUAUUAAUAUUAGGUUGAGUAGAGAUAUUUCCACAUGUUUCACUUAAGUCAAGUUCACAUUUGCAAAAAGAUAUUUGUAACUUGUGCCCAGGGGAUGGGAUGCAAAGCCAUUGAUUGAGUGGACACGGGAAGGCACCUUACCAAGUCAAGUCAAGUCAAUACCUGCAAGUCAGUUGGAGCACGCGUUGAAGGGCACCAUAUCAAGUCACAAGUCUUCAUUUAUCUUUUUCCACAUAGUGACAUGAAUUAAAGUGGUGAGUCUCUCUUCCUUUUGUUCACCCGUGUCCUUCAUAUUCACUUUUCAGUCUUUCAUUUGAAAACACUACAAUAGCACACUUUCCAAAGAGAUUCCCAAGCAGCUUAUUGGCCUUUCGAGUUCGGGGAAAUUAGCAAGUGGAAAAAUAAUUUUCCGGAGCUUUGUCUCUACGACAAGUUGGCUUUCCAAAAAAUCGAAAAGACUUUACAGUCUUUUUGUGUGAGUCAGUCAUCAUGAGUUUGCAUACGAAGACUUCAAAGUCUCCUUGAUGAUAGUCGUCCACAGCAAGCUCCCAACGUUAUAAAUUACUAAGAUGGACAAAUGCUCAAUAAAAUUUAAUUAGGAUAAUUAGUUGAUUUAAGGAAUAUCUCUUUUUCUGGUGUCAUUUUUUAUUGACCGGAGAAAUAUGUGUAUCCGCAUAUCCUACAUUGAUUGUCUUAGUAAUUUCCUUUGCAUCUAAAAAAAAUUUAUUUAACCCUAAAAAAAAAAUAUUACUCCAUCUUGAAAUGUUUCCCCUUAACCUUUGCCACACUAAUCACAAAGUAUACUAGUAAAUGUUUCAAACCACGUAGGAUAAUUUUUUGGGAGAUUCACUAUUAUACCCAAUAUAAGAGUUCAAAUUUUUUUUUUAAAAAAAACCUAUAUGAAAUGGGCUUUAGAACACACCCAAAACCCAUUUACAACAUAACAAAAAAGCUUUUAACUUCUUUUAAAGUACAAAACUGUCAUUGAUUUCUUAAAACAAACUCAACCCAAAAACCUCAUAAAAAAGCUUAAAACACUCAAUAGGGUAUCAAAGUAAUUUAAUAAUCAAAAUUAAAUUAAAUAGAUCCGGCUGUCAUUUUUUGAGUUUAUUUACAAAAAUUAAAUGGUGUGGGGUUAAUUUAUAAUUUUAGUGCUAAGAAUGGGUAAAUAUUUAUAAUUUUUUCAAGCAUUAUUGUAGAGAUAGCAAUAUAGUGCUAUUCCCGUUACAAAAAAAUAUUUUUCCUUUUGAAUGAUACAUUCAUAUGUAUUUGAAAUUGAACCUACAUACACAGGGUGGUUGUCCACAUGGCAUGGUAUGAGAGCAUCAUUGAGCUAUGUCACUAUUCAGCAAAACAGUAUGUUGUGUCACCGAGCGUACACAAUUCUUUUUAUAUUAAAAAAUUAACCAAAAUUUUAAAAAUAGUAUUUUUAUUUUAUUGAAAUUAAAAAAUAGUAGUAUGAACACUACAUCUAUCAUCCUCCUUUUUCCAACAAAAGAAAUCUUAGUAGAUCUUUCUCUGCAAACUCUUCAUCAUUUCUAACUAGUCUAAUCGAACAGUCAACACCUACUUGACGUGUGGUUGUGGAGACUUAAAAGCCUUUGAAAAUUUUACUCCUUUAUAUGGUUUUGUCUUAUAUGAAUGUGUGGCACUGUUUUAGCUAAACCAUGUUUUUCUUUGUAAAAGUUUUCUUCCUUUUUUCCUAUAUAUAUAGUUAGUGUGUAAUUAUAAGACCCUAUAUAAUAUUAACCUAAAUUAUGGGGGCAUUUCAAAAUUGACUUGGUCAAUAACCAAAGUGUUUUGAAAAGCUCUCGUAUUAUAGUUGUUGAAUUAAAACCCAAUUUUCAUUUAUUAGUAUCAAUAAAUAUAUAGGUAUUAUAUUAAUAUUGGGUUGGCAAGAGAUAUUUCCAUAUGUUUCACUUAAGUCAACCUCACAUUUGCAAGAAGAUAUUUAUAACUUGUGCCCGGGGGAGGGAUGCAAAACCAAUGGUUGAGUGGACACUGGAAGGCACCUUACCAAGUCAAGUCAAGUCAAUAUCUGCAAGUCAGUUGGAGUACGCGUUGGACGGCAAAUCACCAUAUGCAGUUUAUGUCACAAGUCUUCAAUCUCAUAUAUUAAUUUCUCCAAUGUUCAUUAAUUUACUACUUGUUUACUUGGACUACUGACAAAUUUUUCUUCAAAUAUCUUUUUCCACAUAUCGACUUGAAUUAAAGUGAUGAGUCUCUCUUCCUUUUGUUCACCCGUGUCCAUAUUCACUUUUCAAUCUUUCAUUUGAAAACACUACAAUGGCACACUUUCCAAAGAGAUUCCCAAGCAGCUUAUUGGCCUUCCAAGUUUGGGGAAAUUAGCGAGUGGAAAAAAAAUUUCCGAAGCUUUGUUUCUUCGACCAGUUGGCUUUUCAAAGAAAGAAAAAACAUAAAAAUGGUAAAAUAAAGUAAUUGAGCAAUUAAAAAAGCAAAAAGAAAAAAAAAAGGAAUUACCGUUUGUUGACGUUUGAGUUAAAUGUGUAUGUGCAACGACUUAAAACUCUAGUUUACACUCUUUGUGGAACCAAAAAAUUGAAAAGGCUUACCAGUCUUUGUGUGUGUCAGUCAUCAUGAGUUUGCAUACGAAGACUUCAAUGUCUACUUGAAGAUAGCUGUCCACAGCAAGCUCCCUACCCAAAGUUACAAAUUACUAAGACGGACCAAUGCUCAAUAUGACAGGACCCACCCUGAAUUUCUCGGAACUUGAGACGAAUCCUGUGAAAAACUAGUACAUCCCUCCAAUGUCAUGCCCACUUACCAAAACUAUAGCCUCUUUUCCAAAUUAAGGAAAAAAGGUACGAGACUUUUUGCCAAAAUUUCGGCAGAGUCUCCCCUGUAAAUUGGACUUUCUCCAAAUUUUUUUAACCUAUUAAAAAUACAAUUAACAUCCACAACUAGUAGCAUGCACAACUAGUAGCAUGCACAAUUUAACCUUUAAGCAGUUUACGAACUAGGCCUCUGGCCUUUAACAAUUCAGUCAGUUGGGGCACGCGUUGGAAGACAAAUCACCACAUUAAGUCUAAGUCAAUAGUUGCGUUGAAAGGCAAAUCACCAUAUCAAGUCGAAGUCACAAGUCUUCGCGAUCUCAUCCAUUAAUUUCCCCAAUAUUCAUUGAUUUAUUACAUGUUUACUUGGACCACUGACAAUUUUUUCUUCCAUUAUCUUUUUCCACAUAGUAACAUGAAUAAGAGUUGGUUGUACCUUGUACAUUUUUUUUCUCCUUCUUUUUUGAAAUUUGGUAUAGUCCAGUUCUGAUGACAUAAGUGAAAUUGAACCUAUAUCUAAGAGCUCCUUUCAAAGAAAAAACAUAAAAAUGGUAAAAUAAUGUAAUUGAGCAAUUAAAAAAGCAAAAGGGAAAAAAAAGGAAUUACCAUUUGUUGACGUUUGAGUUAAAUGCGAAUGUGCGAAGACUUAAAAGUCUAGUUUCCACUCAAGUAUGUGGACUUAAUAGUCUUUUUGUGGAACCAGAAAAUUGAAAAGACUUUACAAUCUUUUUGUGUGAGUCAAUCAUCAUGAGUUUGCAUACGAAGACUUCAAAGUCUACUUGAAGAUAGGUCCACAGCAAGCUCCUUGCCCAACGUUACAAAUUACUAAGAUGGACCAAUGCUAAAUAGGAUUUAAUUACGAUAAUUAGUUUAUUUAAGGAAUACCUCUUUUUCACGUGUUAUUUUUUUAUUGACCGGUGAAAUAUGUGUUUCCAUAGAUCCCGCAUUGAUUGUCCUAGUAAUUUCCUUUGCAUCUAAAGAAAAUGUAUUUAACCCUAAAAAAAAUGUUACUCCAUCUUGAGACGUUUCCCCUUAAACUUGUUUGCCACACUAAUCACAAGGUAUACUAGUAAAUGUUUCAAACCACCUAGGAUAAUGUUUUCAAGCAUUAGGAGAUAGCAAAAUAAUGUUAUUCAUGUUAUAAGAAAUAUUUUUCCUUUUUGAAUGAUACAUUCAAAUGUAUUUGAAAUGGAAUCUACAUAUACGGGGUGGUUGUUCACAUGGCAUGGUAUGAGAGCAUCAUUGAGCUAUGUCACUAUACAACAAAACAGUAUGCUAUGUCACCCAAUGUACUCAAUUCUUUUUAUAUUAAAAAAUUAACCAAAAUUUUAAAAAUAGUACUUUUAUUUUAUCGAAAUUAAAAAAUAGUACUUGUAUUCCUGCAUCUUACUUUUUAACUCAUGCAUCAUAAUUAAUUUGGAAUCUAAAGUACUUAAUUUAAUUACCUCCAUAAUAAAGAGAUUCGAAUCUAAAGUGUUGAUGCUCAAAAUGGCCCGGCCAAUAUUGAGUCCAACUUAGUGAUUAGAUGUGCUGAGUCUUCAGCAGAGAAGAGGGCUGAGGCCCUUGGUGAAAUGGGUUGGUGAGAGACCUGUAGAAGGUAAAAAGAGGAGAAGCAAUCGUCAAGCUUCGGACACCGGUGUGGUGCCGGCCGAAGGCUCUCCGAUGCCUAAGUCAAUUACAAGUAGUAAUUCUGGCAGAGUAACAGUAAAAGUGGGAGAGUAGUUCUCUGUUUUACUUGGGUACUGUUCCCUAUUUAUAGGGAAGUGAAAGUGGGAGCUUUGCACAAAGUUCCAAUGUGGGACUUUGUGCAAGCCGUUGUGGUGACGACACGUGUCCUGGAGAUUAGGUUUGGCAGCUGAGAGCUUCGGCAGGUGUCUGGCACCUCGGAAGUGUGUCUUCCUUCGGCAUGGGAGAAGGCGUGGCUGCCUUGGUGCUAGUCGCUUUGAUGCUGGGUCUGCUCGGUUCAUUAUGGUGUAAACAGUAGUCCCCCAAGUUCGCGGUCGAGAAGUAACUUCUGGGUUGGGAACUUGUGAGUUUUUGUAAUUGUAACCGAGCAUUCCAGCUUCAUUGGGAGUCGCAGGGCACUCCCUAGUCCCCCAAGUUGGCAAGCUAGGAGUUGCGUCAACACAUGGUAGCUGGGUACCUGGGUACUUGGGCAUGUUGCAGAUAGGAUGGGAGCUGGGUCCCUAGGGGAGCCAGACCUUCGAGGGAGCCGGGUACUUUGAAAAUUUUGGAGACUCCAAUUCUUUCAUGGCUCCUGCCGUGCGGCAAGGGUCUAGCUCACUUUUUUUUUUUUUUGGGAAUGGCCGGGCCAUUUGGGAUUUUUGGACCUCCCCACAAAGCCUCCAUGGCCCUUGCCGUUCGGCAAGGGUCUAAAUUAUUAUUAUUAUUUUUUUUUUUUUUUUUGCAAAUUUUUUUUUUUUUUUUUUUGGGAAUGGGAGCUAGGCCAUUUUGGAUUGGGCCUUCCACAGCUUCUCCAUGGCCCUUGCCGUUCAGCAAGGGUGUAGCCAUUUUUUUUUGUUUUGGAUGGCUUGGGAGCUAGGCCUUCAAGAGAGCCGGGUCGUUUUGAAAAUUUUCGACUCUCCAAAAUGUCUCCAUGGCCCUUGCCGUUCGGCAGGGGUCUAGCUAUUUUUUGGAUUGGGAGCUAGGCCGUGUUGAGAGAGAUUGAAGGCUUAGCUUGGAUUGGGCCUUCGGCAAGUAAGAAAGGCUUGAGUUUGGCCAAAGUGGGCUUCGGCAUGUAAGAAGGCUAGGGUUUGGCCAAAGUGGGCUUCGGCAUGUAAGAAGGCUAGGGUUUUGAUAGGGGUAUAAAAAUGGGAUGAUGGUGAUGCCGUUCGGCAAGGAUCCAUUCGGCAGGUUGAGGUAGAACAAAAUUUUUUUUGAAAUCCAAACUUGCCGUUCGGCAAGUUCUUGGAGUCCCGGUCUUGGAGUCACGGCUGUGGAGUUGCUGUCCGAGGGCUCUGCAGGUGGCUGAGCUUCGGCAGGGCAGCUGGAGUUCUUGGGGGCUGAGCUUCGGCGGCAGCACGGGGGUUGUAGAACCUUCGGCAGGGUCUGGUCGAGGUGCAGUUGAGGUGCUGCGGAGAUCGAAGUGGAGCUGCGACUGAUCUUGCCGUUCGGACGAAGGGGCUGGGCAGUUGUCUAGGCAGGCUGUGCGGCGCAGCAGCUUCGGCAAGGGCUUUGCCGAUAAGACAGCUGCUGGACAAGUGGAUUGGGUGCUGGCCGAGGGGGCUGGGAAGUUGAUUCGGCAGGCGGCAGCGAGGCUGUGCUGUCCGAGGAGGUUGAAGAGCUUCCGACUGGGCUUGCCGUUCGGCAAGGGACUUGGCAGCGGCCAAGGUGUCCAGCGGUUGGAGGCUUCGGCAGGGUUUCGUCGCGGCAGCUGGUUCUGCCAGCUGGGAGAGGUGCUUGGCCAGGUCGUGUGCUUCGGUAUGUCCUCCUUUCCCUCUGAUUUCAUUCUUGCAUAGCCCUUGCCGUUCGGCAAGGGUGCCCUGAGCUGAUUUUUAUUUUUAUUGAUCGUUGUGUUUGAUCAAAGGUGAUAGGCCCGAGCAAAAUUGGAGCUAGGCCAUUGGCACGAGCGCGGCCAAAAAUAACUUGGCUGAAAAAGUAGCUGGGCCGAAAAUAGUUGGGUGUGGAGAGUAUUUUGACCGAAAAGGUGAGUCCCCCCUUUGUUGUUUCUCGGGCCUUGCCGUUCGGCAAGCCCAUUUAUAUUAUGUGGUGGAAUUGGCUUGGGUGUCUUGAUCAAAUUUGGGCCUAGCCUUGUAGUAGGUUUGGGCUUAUGGAGUAGGCUAGCAAACUUGAAAUUUGGGACUCCAUUUUGUUUUUGCACGGGCCUUGCCGUUCGGCAAGGCCCCUAUUUCCCUCAAAAUUUUUGUGUUGGUUAUUGUGUAGUUUGAAAAUUGAAUUCAAAUGUACCUUUAGGAGGGAAUAUGAAAGGGUACUAGGGUUUGCUCGUGAAAUUGAGGCGUGGUACCCUUAGUUGGCUAUAAAAAGGAACUUGGGUGGUGAAGGCAUCACACUUGGCUUGAGUUGAGAAAAAUUGUGAGAAUUUUGAGGAGGAGGAGAAGAGAUUUCCGGCGAAGGUUUUGUGGUGGUGCUUGUGGCUGAGGUGAUUUCCGGGGACUUGUACGUGGUGGUACGAACAAGGUUAGACCUUAUUUCGCUUGAACUUUUGAAUUGAAAUGUCUUGUUUUGCAUGAACAUGUUGAAGGUUAGGAAGAACACAUUGAACAUGAGCAUGAACAUGAUGAACAUGUUGAACAUAUGUAUGAACAUGUAGAAUUCUUGCCUGGCAUGAAGAUUUGGCAAAUUGUUGUUGUUGUGGUUCGAUCCUCUCUGCAUGUGCAUUUAGUUCCUUCUCUUGUUUUUCCAUACUUGUAGAUGUCUGAAAGUUCUGAUAGGGAAAGUCUUGACCCCCCUGCCUUCGGCGGGGAUGAUACUGAGAGUCAAGAGCCGAGUCAAUAUAUAUGUUCUGAAGAGGAAAGUUCAGAGACAGAGGGUAUGGUGGAAGGAACCAUAGAAAGUAGGAUGAUAGGGCCUGGGGGUGAGAGGGCUGAGCCAUCGGGAGACUCUGGGUCGGCUGCAUAUAGGGAGAUGCAGAGAAAUUAUAUAGAGUUAGAGGCUAUAGCAAAUCGGGUUCUAGCCUUGCCUCAGACGCAAGAAGUGGGUUCGAGCAACCAGGCAUCACCAUCAGGGUCUGUGGGUAUAGCCGUGGCUUCGGUGUCAGAGGGAUUAGACAUCCGGGUUGGUGUCCCGUUGCCGAGGCGGAAUACACUUACAGAAGCGAAAUUGGCCCAGCUACGAACAGAUUUUUGUGUGCCAGCCUAUGUGGGCUUGAGGUUACCCACGGAGGUUGAUGUAGUCAGAUAUCCUUCGGAUGGCUCCGUGAUGAUUUUUACAGAUAUGUAUCGGCAUGGCUUCAGACUACCGUUUCAUCCGUGGGUUCAGAUGAUGUUGGCCAAGUUGGGGUAUGCACCGGGGCAGUAUAAUCCCAACUUUUGGAUUCUUCUUCAUGGGGUGUAUAUCGCCUGGUGGUUGGCUGGGUUAGGGGAGCCAACGUUUGAGCAGUUCAUGUACCUGUACUCCAUUUCGAAGCAACAGGGGAAUUUUGGCUGGGUACAGGCCAAUUGCCGAAAGGCGAAGGAGAGGGGCUAUUUUAUUGGACACAAGCCCACAACGCAAAAGUCCUGGAGGAACAGGUGGUGCUUGGCCUAUGGGGACUGGGAAUGUCCUCCAGGGAAGAGCGUUGUCCAGCACAUUCCUACCCACUUCCAGUCUAUAGGUCCUUGCCCCAUCCCUUAAGAUUGUCAAAUGCCUGAUUGUGUUGUUUUGGCUCCUAUUUUUGGUUCUGUACUUCCUUUGUGCCAGUGUAAAUGGCUAAGUAGUUUCUAACUCUUGAUGCAGGUUCAGUGAAGUGGGGCCCUAUCUCCAAGGAGCAAGAAGACGAAGUUGAGUGGGUGAGGGCGCAGCUAUCAGAGACUGAGCGUGAGUGCGGGAACCUAGUCACGCAGAAGAAUUUGUUUGAGUCCGGACUGCUGCAAGGAAGUAAGUACCUGGGUUAUCUUUUUGUUGUGUGCUAAGCCUGUUGUAAGUUUGAGUAAUAGAGUUGCUUUGUUUGUUUUGACAGUGGCUGGCAUCAUAAGGGGGAGCACGAAGGUGGCCGUAGACAUUGAUGAGGCCGAGAUGCAGAAGCGGCUGAGGGAGUCUCGGGCCAAGAAAGCUGAGAAAAUUGCUGGGAAACGACCCAGGGAUGAUGAUGAGGGUCGGGUCGCGGACGUGCUGGGGAAGAGGAAGGCUUUGGAGGAGGCUCAUCAGCAUGUGAUGGGGUCAGGGCCGAGGCUUCCGCCCUUUGAUCUGCAGGCACCGCCGAAGCUACCCUUCGGCAUGGAGGAUGUGUUCGCUGAAGGGGUAGAGAAGGUAGACUUCGGCAGGCUACGCCAGCAGAAGAAGGAGGUCAACCUGGCUAUGCACCGGCAGGAGGUGCCCUUAGUGAAAGUCUUCCUGGAAGGCGUGAAGAGCGACCCUGAGGCUCUGGCGAGGACUCCAGCUGCUUCCUUCAUUGACCGGGCCCAAAAGACGAUCCUCACCUCUGCCUAUGUAAGUGUUUAGGCCAUUUUUGAAUGUAUUUGUGUUGGAUUAUUUGUGUGGAUUGACUAACAUGGUUUUGGUUUUGCAGGCCUUUGGCGAGAUGUACGUCAGCAUGGCCAAGGCUGACAAGGAGAUCCAGAGGCUGAAGAGGCGGGAUGAGCUAGCCAAGAGCAAAAUGGCAGAGGCGCAGGAGGCCAUCCGAGAGAAGAACACCUUGCUGGUUCAGAAGGCGGCCCUGGCCAAGGAGGUGGAGGAGCUGAAGAGAUCUAGGGCCGAGGAGGUGGCUGCUGCCCGAGCCGAGGCGAUUGAGUCCUUCCGAUCCUCAGAGGAGCUGAAGAGCUAUAUCAUGGACCGACUGGUUGAUGAGCAGCUUCGCUGGGAAGAUAGGUUGGUUAGGUUCAACCCCUCACUGGAGAUUAACUUUGACACCAGUGGCGAGCCUCCUGCACAGACCCCUCCUGCUGAUGCUAGCGCCCCGACACGAGAGGCUGAGCCAGCCACUGAGGAUGCUCCUUCGACCGAGUCCUGAAGGCGUUGCCUUCGUGAUGUGUUAUAGCUAUUUUGUACUCUAGUGAUUGUGUUUGAACACUUGUUUGUUUUGUUUACUUUGGUUAUGUAUGAACAUUUGUCCUUGCCUGGAGCAAGGCUGUUUUUAUUUAUGAUAUGAACUUAGCUUGAUAUCAAUUGUGUUAACAAUGAUAACAAUGUGAGUUCAUGAGAAUGAGCCUGAGUCAGGCAUUUUAUUGAAAUAGAUGCCGAAAGGCAGAAGGUACAAGUGGUCUAGGGUCUAGAUACCUUACGUCUAACUUACAGUAAAUAAUCAAGACCAAAGUAUUAUCCUAGGGUCUAGAUAUGUUUACUUGUAAUAGUACUUGAGGUGGUCAGCAUUCCACGGGUGAGGCAGCGUCUUGCCUGAGGAAUCACGAAGCUGAUAAGUGCCGGGGCAGCAGAUUUUGAUAAUCUCAUAAGGACCUUCCCAUGUAGGGCCGAGGGUACCCUCGUUGGGAUUUUUGGUAGCCAAGGAAACCUUGCGCAUGACCCAGUCCCCCAUUUUGAAAGCACGGGGCUUGACUCGGGAGUCAUAGUAUUUGGCGAUGCGUUGCUUGUACGCGGCAUUGCGCAUGCUUGAUUGGUCCCGGAGUUCGUCAAUGAAGUCGAGGUUGAGGGCCAACUGCUCGUCAUUGGCCGUGGCAUCGUAAGUGGAGGUUCGGUAUGUGGGCUGGCCAAUCUCUACCGGAGCCACGGCCUCGGUUCCAAAUGAUAGGGAGAACGGCGUUUCACCCGUGGAUGUGCGGAAGGUGUUGCGGUAGGACCAGAGUACUUCUGGGAGUAGUUCUGGCCAGCAGCCCUUGGCUUUGUCAAGUUUUGUCUUGAGGGUCUUCUUGAUAAUUUUGUUCACGGUUUCGACCUGGCCAUUGGACUGAGGAUGGGCUGGGGAGGCGAAACACAGACGAAUCUUGAGGUUCGAACAAAAUUGUUUGAAUUUGGCGUUGUCAAAUUGCCGGCCAUUGUCGGUGAUGAUGGAGUUGGGGAUGCCGAAGCGACAUACAAUGUUUUGCCACACAAAGGAUUCGAUGCGAGCCGCAGUGAUGGUGGCCAAGGCCUCGGCCUCAGCCCACUUGGUGAAGUAGUCUACGGCCACAACAGCAUACUUGACUUGGCCCUUGCCCUCUGGCAUCGGUCCGAUGAGAUCCAGUCCCCAUUGGGCAAAUGGCCAAGGACUGACCAUGGCCGUCAGUGGUUCUGCCGGGAGUUGUGGAAUGUUGGCGAAUCUCUGACAUUUGUCGCAUUUUUGGGUGAAGGCCUGGGCGUCAGUGUGGAGUGAAGGCCAGAAAUAUCCUUGGCGGAUUGCCUUAUGAGCUAACGAGCGUGCGCCCGAGUGGUUGCCGCAGAUGCCUUCAUGGAUUUCUCGGAGGACAUAGUGACCCUCCUCUGGAGUCAGGCAUCGGAGGUAAGGAAGGCUGAAACCCCGCUUGUAUAAGGAGCCAUUAAUGAUCAGGUAACGGGCAGAGCGAUGGCGAACGCGUCGUGCUUCUGCCGGAUUAGCCGGUAGUGUUUGGUUUUGUAAGAAUUGGAGGAUGGGGUCCAUCCAUGUAGGGCUGUGAUCAAUAGUGCAGAUGAGUGGGGCUUGUGUGCUGGGCUGGGCCAAAAACUCGAUGUGGAUGUGGCGACCCAGUCCUUGCUCCAAGGCUGAUGCCAACCUGGCUAGUGCAUCGGCAUGGCUAUUCUCGGAGCGCGGCACCUGCCUGAUAGAGUGGGCUUGGAAGUUUGCCAGCAAGUGCCGAGCUUGCUGGAGGUAGGCCGUCAUAGAGGCAUCCUUAGCCGUGAAGUCCUGGUUGACCUGGUGGACCACAAGUUGUGAAUCGCUGAAUAUCUGAAUUUGCCUGGCGUCCAUCUCUUUGGCUAAUCGAAGACCAGCUAAGAGUGCUUCAUAUUCGGCCUCAUUGUUGGAGGCUUGGAAUUUGAAGCGAAGGGCGUACUCGAGGGCAACCUUGUCUGGGGAGAUGAGAACGAGGCCGGCCCCACAGCCCUGGGCAUUAGAAGAGCCGUCUACGAAUAAGGUCCACAGGGGCUGGGUUAGGUCGAGAUUGCCUUCGGUGGGGGUUUGGUCCUGGCUGGGAGGGGGGUUGGGUUCGAUUAUGAGCUGGGUAGCUGCGGAAGCUUGGGGAUCCGUGAAUUCGGAUAGGAAGUCAGCAAUGGCCUGGCCCCUCAUAGCCGGGCGGGGUUUGUAGUGAAUAUCAAACUCGCCCAGUUCAAUGGCCCAUUUGACCAGCCUCCCAGAGGUUUCUGGGUUCUGCAACACCUGUCGGAGCGGGUGGUUGGUUAAGACAUGGAUGGUGUGAGCUUGGAAAUAUGGUCGGAGGCGUCUUGCCGAGACGACCAGGGCGAAUGCCAAUUUUUCGAUGUCCGGGUAACGAACUUCGGCAUCUUGCAAUGCUUUACUAACAUAAUGCACUGGGUGCUCCGCGUGAUCUUUUGAUCGGAUAAGCACAGAGCUAACAGCCGAAGCUGAGAUGGAGAGAUAAAUCACGAGGAUGUCUCCGUGCUCAGGGGUUGACAAUAAAGGGGCCCGACCCAUAUACUCCUUCAGCUCGCUGAAAGCCGUGUCACAUUCAGCAGUCCAGGUCAUGUUUCUUUUGGUGCCUUUAAGGGCCUUGAAGAAUGGGGCGCAACGGUCAGUGGCUUUGGAGAUAAAUCUGGUCAGGGCUGCGACACGCCCUGUAAGGCUUUGGAUAUCCUUGGCCGUCUUAGGUAUUGUCAUAUCUAAGAUGGCCUGGAUCUUUUCUGGAUUGGCCUCAAUGCCCCUCUGGCUGAUCAUGAAGCCAAGGAAUUUUCCGGAAGCCACCCCGAAUGCACAUUUGGUGGGGUUAAGCCUCAUUUUGUAUUGCUUCAGAAUGGUGAACAUGGCAGAGAGGUUGGGGAUGUGCUGGUCAGCCGUGCGACUCUUGACUAGCAUGUCAUCGACAUAGACCUCCAUGGUAUUGCCAAUCAGGGGGGCAAAGAGCUGAUUCACCAGACGCUGAUAAGUGGCCCGGCGUUUUUGAGGCCGAAGGGCAUCACCUUAUAGCAGUAGAGGCCGCGGUCCGUAAUGAAAGAGGUGUGUGCCUGAUCUUCGGGGUGCAUGAAGAUCUGGUUGUAACCUGAAUAAGCAUCCAUGAAGCUAAGGAGGGCGUGGCCGGCUGUGGCGUCGACUAGCUGGUCAAUGCGGGGUAGCGGGAAGCUGUCCUUUGGGCAUGCCCGAUUAAGGUUGGUGUAGUCGACACACAUGCGCCAGCCCUUUCUUGGCUUGCGGACCAUCACGACAUUGGCCAGCCAUGUGGGAUAGUCAACCUCCCUGAUGAAUCGGAUACUACUCAAUCGAUCCACCUCCGCCUUCAUGGCCUCAUAGCGCUCGGGAUCAUAGGCUCGACGCUUCUGUCGGACUGGUCGGACGGCAGGAUUGACGCUAAGCCUAUGAGAUAUGAUGUCUGGUGAUAUGCCAGGCAUGUCAUUGUAGGACCAAGCGAAGACUUCGGAGUUGAGGCGGAGGAAGGCGACCAGGUCAGAGCGAAGCUCUGGUGAGAUGGAGGUGCCGAUCCGGACUUGUCGAUCCGGGAUAUCGUCAUGGAGGGUAACCAGCUCCAGGUCCUCCAUAGGUUCGGCCUGUGGUGCGAUGGACUCCUCCCUGGGGUCUUCAGGUGGGUCUGUGCCAGCUUGAGGAGGGGCGGGAGCCUGGGUUACUGCUAGGGCUUCACUCCUAUGUUGGCGAUUGGUGGAUUUGAUGGCUGAAGCAUAGCAGCUUCGGGCUCCGAGUUGGUCGCCGCGCACCGUGCCUGGGCCAUUAGGAGUGGGGAACUUCAACAGCAGUAUAUGCGUGAAAAUAAAAGCCUUCAUUUGGGCCAAGGCUGGGCGGCCGAGGAUGACGUUGUAGGCUGUGGGGCAAUCGACGAUAAGGAAGGGGGUAGUGAUCGUCGUCCGCUGGGGUGCGGCCCCAAUUGAGAUGGGGAGAUGAAUGCUGCCAAUGGGCUGGACCACAUCACCCGAGAAGCUCACAAGGGGUGUGAUGCUUCGGUCGAGUAGGUGAGGCGGGACCUGGAGUUCAUUGAAGCACUCGGCGAACAUCACACUGACCGAGCUGCCAGUGUCCACCAGGAUACGCCCAACGUCGAAGUUAGAAAUGUCAGCCCGGAUAAUAAGUGGAUCGUCAUGGGGGAGGAUAACACCACGCUCCUCCUCCUCGCAGAAGGUAAUGGGGGCCCAGCCAGUCCUGUGGGUCUUUGGCAAUCGUCCCUGCUCGGUGCUGAAGACCUGGUGCGCAUAGGUGGAGCGGACAUAAUGUUUGAUGGAGUUGUUGGAGGUGCCAGCCAGGGUAGGACCUCCGCUGAUGGUGGAGAUCAUGUUGAUUUGUCGUUGGUGAGGGUUAGGCGGGGCUGGUAUGUUGCGCACAUAGUUGUCCAGCUUACCUUCCCGGAUGAGCCCUUCAAUUAUGUUGCGCAAGGCAACACAAGAUUCGGUGUCAUGGCCGCUGAAUUGAUGAAAGCGGCAGAAGACCCCCGUGUUUGGCAUAGGCUUGUUGGAUGGUCUCCGGGGGGGUGGCUUGGGGAUGAUGGGGGCUUCACGUGCCAGGACGUUCUCAUAGGUGGUGUUGAGGGUCGUAAAAACCUCAAACCUGGGCCUGGGUGCGAAUGGAAGUGGGGCCCGAUCACCAGGCCUGGGAGGGUUGCUUCCACUAGAUUGAUGGGGGUUGCCAUGUCUGCCACGUUUGUGAUUGCCGAAGGGAUGCUGGUAGCUAUCCUUCCGCUUAUGUGGUUGGUUGUCCUGGGCAAUCGGGGCAGGGGUAGAAUGCUGAGGUGGGGCUGGGGCGGGUGCUGAAGCCGGUGGAGGGUCGGCGAAAGUGUUGCGCGCCAAGUUGGCUGGGCCACGCUUGGAAUUGAAGUAUUCAGCCUUAGCGUGGAUCGCCGCCUGCUUCAUCAGCUCUGCAUAUGUGUUCCAACUGUUGCUAUGAACCAGGUAGCGGAAGUUGGACUCGCGGAGGCCGCUCUUAAAAGCGCCGAAGGCAGCGCGAUCGUCAGUGUCUGGGCAGCGAGAGUAUUCAUGACUGAACCGAGCUGCAUAUUCCCGAAGGGGUUCGUCCUCAGCCUGCCUAAGCAUAUACAAGUCGUCGGCAGAGUAUAGGCGAUCAGUCUGGAUCAUAAAAUGGUCCAGGAACGUCUGCUUGAGACUAUCGAAGGAGUUGAUGGUGCAGGGGUGGAGCCUGUAGAACCAAUUCAGGGCCGCGCCGCUGAGGGUGGAAGGGAAAAGGAGGCACAUGCCUUCAUCAGUGAGGCCUUUGCACCCAAGGGCAGACUGGAAGGAGUGGAUGUGGGUGAGAGGGUCCUCCGUGCCAGUGUAGAAAGCGAUGCGGAGGGGCUGGAUAUCUUUCUCCUGGUGGUAGUGGAGGAUGCGUUCAGUAAAGGGCCCUGGUCGUGGUUUUGCCCAGAGGGGUUGAUGGCUGCGUUGUUGUUCGCUUUCCAAGCGCCGGACCUUUUCGAAGAGAAGCCUCAUGGCCGGGUCGGCAUGAGGAAGAGUUUCAGGCGCCAAAGGCCUGGGGGCGGGGCAGACAGGGACUGGGGAUUGUUCCCAAUUUUCCAGCGCCCCGGUGUGGUAAUUUGGCCAGGUCUCCGAAUUAUAAAAGUCCCAAGUAUCCGAGUCCCCGACACCUUCCUCGUCGGGUAUGCGGACGGGGGCUGGCGAAGGGCCCGGGUGUGUCACCCGUGGGUCUUCGAGGUUGACAGGGAUAGGGAUCGGCCUUGGCUGGCGGUCCGAGAGGCGAUCCCUGCAAUCUUGGUAGAUCCUGACUGGUUCAUGGGGCCGGUCCCUCGGUGGGGGAACGCAAAGGGGUCGUGACUGGGCUAUCUCCGGAUGAAGGUGGUCCUUACCCUUGCGGAGCCUAGCCUGGGCCGAGGCACUGUGGCUGGAAUGUACCGGCUGGUUCGGCUGAGUAGGCCCAACGUUCUGGGUGAGGUCUUGCGGGGCAUCCUGGGUGUGAGUCCUUUCCCAGUUCCGCUUUAAAACACGGUAGUCAUGUUCUAGCUCAAUGUUCCUGCAAUGAAGGUGGUCGUAUUUUUCCGACAUUUUAGUGACACUGUCGCGGAGACGCUCCACUUCUGCCUGGAGAGUGGCAUCUUCCGAAGAUCUCCUUCUAGAAGUACCAUCGCGGGGGGUAUGAUGCUGGGUAUCGCGGCUAUCCUCGGUCGGCAUAGCAGAAUGUGGGGUGAAGAAGAGGCGACGGGGCCUGAGGGGUGAAGGAGCCAGCUGGGCUGAUAGAGAAAGAGGGGAUUCAAGUGUCGAUUUCCCACAGACGGCGCCAAACUGUUGAUGCUCAAAAUGGCCCGGCCAAUAUUGAGUCCAACUUAGUGAUUAGAUGUGCUGAGUCUUCAGCAGAGAAGAGGGCUGAGGCCCUUGGUGAAAUGGGUUGGUGAGAGACCUGUAGAAGGUAAAAAGAGGAGAAGCAAUCGUCAAGCUUCGGACACCGGUGUGGUGCCGGCCGAAGGCUCUCCGAUGCCUAAGUCAAUUACAAGUAGUAAUUCUGGCAGAGUAACAGUAAAAGUGGGAGAGUAGUUCUCUGUUUUACCUGGGUACUGUUCCCUAUUUAUAGGGAAGUGAAAGUGGGAGCUUUGCACAAAGUUCCAAUGUGGGACUUUGUGCAAGCCAUUGUGGUGACGACACGUGUCCUGGAGAUUAGGUUUGGCAGCUGAGAGCUUCGGCAGGUGUCUGGCACCUCGGAAGUGUGUCUUCCUUCGGCAUGGGAGAAGGCGUGGCUGCCUUGGUGCUAGUCGCUUUGAUGCUGGGUCUGCUCGGUUCAUUAUGGUGUAAACAUAAAGUAUUAGGAAUUUUCUUUAGCACCUUGACAUUCAAUUUUCUCUAGUCUCAUUAUGAUUGACGUGUGAUUUCCAUAACAUUAAUUAUGCAUUGUAUAUAGCAGAUAAUUUACUCCUUUAUAUGGUUUUGUCUUGUAUGAUUGUGUGGCUUUCUUCCUUUUUUCCUAUAUAUAUCUGAUGCAAGCUAGCAUAUAUCAAUAUACACUUGCAGUGUUUUUGCAUGUGCAUGUGCUUUUGAUCAAUUAACAUGAAGGGCGACGGAAGGUGCUUGAAACUCUUUCUUGCAUUAUCGAUCCUUUUCCUACAAAACGUAAAAGGAGGAGAAGUUGGCCACAGCCACAACCACAGCCACAGUCACAGCCUCAGAGAUGCUAAAGUGACAGUGAGGUGCAUAGAGAGGGAAAGGCAAGCACUACUUGCAUUCAAACGUGGCCUGGUGGAUGAGUUCAAUCUACUCUCAACUUGGGGUUCAGAAGCCGAAAAACAAGAUUGUUGCAGAUGGGAAGGAGUCUAUUGUAGCAACCAAACUGGCCAUGUGAUUCAACUUCAUCUUGGAUAUUCUUUCCUUGAUGAGAUGUUUCAACCUGCUUUUGAAUAUUCUUUCCAAGGUAAGAUGAUUAGUCCUAAACUGAUUGAGUUGCAGCAUUUACAAUAUUUGCACCUUGCAUCCAUUGAUUUCAAUGAGAGCCAAAUUCCUGAUUUCAUUGGUUCUCUAACCAAUCUAAGAUACCUCAGUUUCCAUUCCUGUCAUUUGGUUGGUCAAAUUCCAAGUUCGUUUGGAAACCUCACGCAAUUGCAAUAUCUCGACCUCAGCUAUAAUUAUCAGCUUCAACCAGAAAAUCUCAAUUGGCUCGUUGCUCUUUCUUCUUUAACGGAUUUGGGCCUUGCAUCCUUUGAUUUCAAUUGGAGCCAAAUUCCAGAUUUCAUUGGUUCUCUAACCAAUCUAAGAAACCUCAAACUCUCUUCCUGUAAUUUGGUUGGUCCAAUUCCAAGUUCGUUUGGAAACCUCACACAAUUGCAACAUCUCGACCUCGCCAAUAAUCAGCUUCAACCAGAAAAUCUCAAUUGGCCCCCCGCUCUUUCUUCUUUAACAGAUUUGGACCUAAGCGGAAACAAUCAAAAUACUGUUUUGGACCUUGCAUCGAUUGAUUUCAAUGGGAGUCAAAUUCCAGAUUUCAUUGGUUCUCUAGCUAAUCUAAGGUACCUCAGUCUCAGUUCCUGUAAUUUGGUUGGUCAAAUUCCCAGUUUGUUUGGAAACCUCACGCAAUUGCAACAUCUCGACCUUAGCGGUAAUCAUCUUCAAGCAGAAAAUCUCAAUUGGCUCCCUGCUCUUUCUUCUUUAACGUAUUUGGACCUAAGCGGAGCCAAUCUCAGUACUGUUUUCGAUUGGCCAGAAGCAGUACUUAAUAAGCUCCCUAAACUAGAAGAGUUGACCUUGGUGAACUGUAGUCUUCCUCCUCCUCCUCCUCCUCCUCCUACUCUUUACAAAACAAAUUCUUCUACAUCUCUUGCGUAUGUUGAUCUCUCUGACAACCAUCUCACUUCUUCAAUAUUUCUUUGGUUGUCCAACUACAGUACAAGCCUUGUUGCUCUUGGCCUCUCCAACAAUCAUCUAUCUGGUUUCAUUCCCAAUUUCAUUGGAAACAUGAGCUCUCUUGUGGAUCUGGAUCUCUCUGAUAACCAGAUUAAAGGAGCGAAUCCAAAUUCGUUUGCAAGGCUGUGUAAUUUGCAAACAUUGCAGCUUCAAAGAAAUCAUCUGAGUGGACAAUUAUCUCAACUAUUGCCUAGAUGUGCUCAAAACUCAUUAGAGGAAUUGUACCUCUCUAAUAAUGUUCUUGCGGGGUCAUUAAACAAUCUUACAAGCUUCUCAUCUUUGGAAGUCUUGCAUCUUAGCGCCAAUCAAUUAAGCGGAAAAAUACCUGAAAGUGUUGGGCAAAUGUCCCAACUGUAUGACAUUGAUUUCAGCAUGAACUCUUUGGAAGGGGUGGUUUCAGAAACUCAUUUCUCAAAACUCUCCAAAUUAGAAUAUUUGGAUUUAUCCUCUAACUCACUAGUUUUAAACUUUAGUUCUAAUUGGGUUCCUCCCUUCCAGUUGAGAUACAUAAAUUUGACGUCCUGCAAGGUCGGUCCCCUUUUCCCAAAAUGGCUUCAAACUCAAAAACAUUUUUCCCUGCUUGAUAUUUCUAAUGCUGGAAUAUCUGAUAGCCUUCCAAGUUGGUUUUGGAGUAAUUUUCGUAGCGCAGACAUUAUUAAUCUCUCACAGAAUCUAAUCAGAGGAAUACUUACAAAUUUGACAGCAGAAUUUCCAUUUUACGCAGAACUACAUUUAAGUUCGAACCAAAUAGAAGGUCCAAUUCCCUCAAUUCUAUCACAAGCCUCAUAUCUGGAUCUCUCUAAUAAUAACAUUUCAGGGUCGCUUUCUUUCCUAUGUGCAAGUGCAGAUAUGAGUUAUCUUAAUCUUUCAAGCAACAGUUUUUCUGGAGAACUUCCGGAUUGCUGGAGCCAUUUGGAGAAUAAUCUAGUCAUGCUUGAUUUGAGUAACAACGCUUUUUCCGGAAAAAUUCCCAUGACAAUAGGCUCUUUAUUUCAAAUGCAAACUUUGAAAUUAAGAAGCAACCGAUUUGUUGGAGAAUUGCCUUCAUCGUUGAAGAACUGCACAAGUUUAGAGGUUAUUGAUCUGGGAGAUAAUAAAUUAUCAGGACCAAUACCUACAUGGUUAGGUGUGAGCUUCAAUAAUUUGGUUAUCCUGAUGCUUUCCUCUAAUCACUUCAAUGGAAGCAUGCCCUCGCAAUUAUGUCAUCUAACACGAAUUCAAAUUAUGGAUUUUUCUGUGAACAACAUCUCUGGAAGCAUACCCAAAUGCCUCAACAAUUUGACUACUCUGGCUCAAAAAGGAAAUCCAAGUCUAUCCAGUAGACAUUCUUAUACGAGACUUAUGGGUAAUAACACAGCUGCUAGUGCUAAUUAUGAGGAUGAUGCAAGCUUCAUAUGGAAAGGAAGAAUGCAGACAUACAAAAGCACUUUGGGACUUGUGAAAAGAAUUGAUCUCUCAAGCAAUAGAUUAACAGGGGAGAUUCCAAGUGAAAUCACUCAUCUUGUUGAGUUGGUUUCUUUAAACCUUUCAAGAAACCGGUUAACAGGUCAAAUAACUCCAGAGAUUGGAAAUUUGCAGUCAUUGGAUUCUCUUGAUUUGUCAAGAAACCAGAUAGAUGGAAGAAUUCCGACAAGCCUUGCUCGGAUAGAUCGUCUUAGUUUCUUGGACCUGUCAUAUAACAACUUGUCUGGCAAAAUACCAACAGGCACUCAGCUCCAAAGCUUUGAUCCCCUUGAUUAUGCUGAAAAUCCUCAACUAUGUGGACCUCCACUUAAAAAGAUGUGUGCUGAUCAAAAUGAGCCAUUGAGCAAUGAAGAGGAUAAGGAUGAGUUUAUAACACUGGGAUUUUACAUCAGUAUGGGGAUUGGAUUUGCUGCUGGAUUUUGGGGAGUUUGCGGCACUUUGAUAUUCAAUAGGUCAUGGAGAUAUGCAUACUUGAAGUUCUUGAAUGGUUUAAAUGAUUGGCUCUAUGUGAAGAUAGCUUUGAGCAAGCGGCAACUAAAGCUAGCAUAUGCUUAGUAGAUAAGCUCGCAACGGUACUCUCUCAUUCAUCAUUAAUUUUGUUUUAUAAUUAUUUUUCUUAUUGCAUUUUUUCCUUUUCUCCAUACUGACGGGUAUUAGUUUGUUUACUUUGAUAUUUAGCUGCAGCAUCUAAAUUAGGAGAAAAGUAGUUGUAGCUGAAUGCCUUCUUUCAGUUCAAGUGUGGAAGAUUGCCAGUAGCCGCACGCACAAGUAUCUGGAGAAGAGUUUACGAGUUAAUUUGGAGUGCUUAGUAGGAAUAAAUAUUAUUCAUAUUAGUGUUAAUUACUUGUCAGAAUAAUUAAUUCGGAAUUCUCCAAUUAAUGUUUUUUAAUAUAUUUGUUAUAGAGAAAUAAACAGAUCCAUUUUAAUCCAAGCUCACUCCGAUUAAUGUAUUAAUUCCAGCUAUAAUGUUAUUUUAAUGAACUAAGCCAAAGCCAAAGCGGACUUGAUUUCAAAUUACAAUGUGUGGCUCUGUUUUGGUCAUCUAUUUGCAACGUACAGCUUCUCCUUGUAAAUGCGUGGCUUUGUUUUGGUCAUUCUUUCCUUUCAUAAUUCAACAUCUUGUUCUGGAUUCCUUUUUGUAAACAGACUUUUUGUAUUUGGUCUAUUUUGUGGAUUUUAAGAUUGUGUUAGGCUUACUUGUUAGCUGCAAAAUGCCUUGUACCAAAACUAAAUGGUUUAUCCAUACUCUUCUUGGCUUCAAGCUGAUAUCUCCUAAAGUAGAAAUGAAGAAAUAAAAUAGCUUCUAAAUUACACGAGAUUCUACCCCCAGCUUGCUUGCAGUAUAUGAUACACAUAUCUAGCACGUUGAAUCCAUACAGAAAAACCAAAAGCAGCAUAUGAUACACAUAUCUUGCACGUCUCUUGCUAAGACGCCAAGAGUUAGGUUCACGGUAUCUAUCAUAUAGCGGUUCAAUACGUUCUUGACGCUUGCGCUUGCUCAUCUUGGUGGGAUCUGCCACUUUGAAGAACCUGGGUGCCAGUUCCGCGAGCCAUCUGGGGUCAACGACUGUCACCUCGCGCAUGUACUCCUUUGUGGUCAUAACCAGCUCCUGGUAGAUCACCCAAUCUGGUUGUCUCUGGAAGAGGGCGCUGCUUGGGUGUAUAUAAACUGGUUGGUUCUCCACUAGGGUUCUAUAACCCUCCUGCGGGUCCUUUCUAGCACCGUGGAAGAAAAACCCUGCUGUAAUUGCCUUCCUGAUCUUUGUAAAAUUCUUUCCAGCACUGACAACAUCUAGUUUAUACCUGAAAUUCACAAUCUAUAGUCAGAAUGCAAUUUCAUCUUCAAAUCAGAAAACUUAGAAAUCUUUGAUCACUGUUAUAAACUAAAGCAACCGGUGCUAGUAGAGACAUUGGCAUGACAAACUUAUGCUAAGUUUUUAUACACAAUCUUUAUAAUAAUCUAUCCUAGAACUUACAUGACAAUGCUAUGUCAAUCAAAGAAAUCUGUUAAUGGCGAUGGUAGGAUGUGUAAUAUGCCAUCUGAAUUUCCAUAUCAACUUAUAAAACAGUUUUGCAAUAUUUUGUACAAACAACACUUUACCAAGAAAAACAAUUCCAGUAUCAAAAUGACUAACAUGUCAGCACAAGAGAGCACAUUUGAAGAGCAUAUACUGGCAAUUUAGCUAUACACAAGAGUAGUUAUAAUUUAUAAAGAUACUAUACUUAACCAUUGAAAAAAUGGGAAAAAAGCACUUCUGCUAAUAAUGCUCGGAAAACAGUGUAUGUAACAUCAACAUGAGUCAUGACAACUCGUAAUGACCUAUUCAAUGCUCAGGUAUCAUAUAUCAAGAUUUUAAAACACAAACUAGGCCUGAACAACAUUUCAGCAUUUCCAUCAAGUACAGACAGCAAAAGGCGUGCCUAAUUCACGACUACUGCAAAAAUACAAUGUACCAAACAUAAGAAAACCUAGAACAUUAAUCUACAUCUUUUAAAACCAUUCAUGCACAUGUGAAACCAGAAAAAAAAUCCAUGCAGCCACGAAUACACAUCAAGAUAAAUUAGAAGAACAUACUUGUCCAUGAUGCUGAGAAGCUGUUUUCUGACAUCCUGUGCCCUCCUCAAGGAUCGAGACUGAACAAAGUUCUCAAAACACCAUGGCCCUGAAAAAUUCUUAGCUUUCCAUGCCUCAUAGACUGCAAGUAAAGUCAGAUGAUCUCCUUCUGGCUGGAAAAACUUGGCUCUCUUCUGAUCUGCCUGGGCUUGUUUUUCCCUAGGCCUGUAAAAAAUAUUACCAGUCUGAAUCAUUGCAAUGAUGGUCAAGAUCUCAUCACUGCAUCCAAGGUCGACACUGCCCAGUAGCAUCUUAGACAAGGUGGAUCCAGAGGAAACUCAGCCAUUUUCCUACCCAAUUUGGUGAGCAGCCCCUCCUCAUCCAGUGCUCCUAAACUGUACAAUUGUUCCAUGGCAGAAAUGAGUGCUUGGGGUGAAGGAGGAUCCAUAAAAUCAAAAGACAAGAGAUCAUUUAUCCCCAUAGCUUUCAUCGUAAGUGAAGUUGUCCCAAGAUUUAUCCUCUGGAUUUCUGGAAUUGAAGUAGGGGACAUCUCAUUGCGGUAUGCACUCUCAGUGUAGAGGCGGUAACAUUUCCCAGGGCCUGUACGCCCAGCGAACCCAGCUCGUUGCUUGGCUGAUGCUUGGGAAAUUGGAGUUAUGACAAGUGAAUCUAGGCCCUGCUUUGGGUUAUAAACAUUUUGCUUUGCAAAACCAGGAUCAAUGACAUAAAAUAUCCCAUCAAUGGUCAGUGAUGCCUCAGCAAUAUUAGUAGCCACAACUACUUUCCUCUAACCUGGUGGGGCAGGAUCAAAUAUCCUUGACUGCAUUUCACUAGGAAGGGCACUAUACACUGGUAGGAUAAUCAACUCAGGGACAUUUUUACCAAGACCUUUCAUCCUCUCAUAAAGAGACUAGCAUGCAAAAUCGAUCUCUUCUUGUCCAGUCAAGAAAAGAAGGAUGUCACCUUCAGGUUCUGUCAAGUGUAUUUGUAGAACAGUUAUUAGAGAUGCAUCAAGGUAGUCACUUUCCGUCUGUUUAGUGUAAAGUAUCUCUACAGGAAAGUUCUCCCAGGGAUAGUGAAGAUGUUACAGUUGAAGAAAUAACCAGAAAACUUCUCCGCAUCCAAAGUAGCAGAUGUGACAAUCAAACGAAGGUCUGGUCUCCGCUUCACAAGCUUCUUCAGUAGUCCAAAAAGAACAUCUGUGUGGAUUGUCCUCUCAUGAGCUUCAUCAAGCAUGACCACAGAAUACUGAGAAAGGUUCUCGUCAAUCAAAAUCUCCCGAAGAAGCAUACCAUC
This 43939-nucleotide long non-coding RNA is filed under the name Prunus persica (peach). Its description in RNAcentral is "long non-coding RNA (PPER_LNC002349)". Lineage: Eukaryota; Viridiplantae; Streptophyta; Magnoliopsida; Rosales; Rosaceae. The record is from RNAcentral.